AGCAGUCGCCGCGGUAAUACGUAGGUGGCAAGCGUUGUCCGGAAUUAUUGGGCGUAAAGGGCUCGCAGGCGGUUUCUUAAGUCUGAUGUGAAAGCCCCCGGCUCAACCGGGGAGGGUCAUUGGAAACUGGGAAACUUGAGUGCAGAAGAGGAGAGUGGAAUUCCACGUGUAGCGGUGAAAUGCGUAGAGAUGUGGAGGAACACCGGUGGCGAAGGCGACUCUCUGGUCUGUAACUGACGCUGAGGAGCGAAAGCGUGGGGAGCGAACAGGAUUAGAUACCCCUGUAGUCCCUGUCUCUUAUAC
RNAcentral lists this ribosomal RNA (303 nucleotides) under uncultured bacterium. Its description in RNAcentral is "partial 16S ribosomal RNA". It matches the Rfam family "Bacterial small subunit ribosomal RNA", at positions 507 to 807 of the family's 1533-position model. The record is from RNAcentral.